GACGAACGCUGGCGGCGUGCUUAACACAUGCAAGUCGAGCGAGAGCCAGCUGAGGGGUAACCCUCGGCUGGGGACAGCGGCGAACGGGUGCGUAACACGUGGGCAACCUGCCCCUGACACUGGGUAAACCCGGAACACCCGGAGCUAAUACCGGAAACUCCGGGGCCGUCCUGGUGGGUUGGCAAAAAAGCCCGGGGAGUAGAGUGGCCCCCCCUUUUUUGGUUGGGACAGACGCCACACGGCAGGGGGGGGGAAACCCUAUUCUGUCUCUGAAGGAACCACCCGCCCCACGUGGAAUUGAAAUCGGUCCAGACUCCUACGGGAGGCAGCAGUGGGGAAUAUUGCACAAUGGGGCGAGUGGGGAGGCAGGAACGCCGCGUGAGGGAUGAAGGCCUUCGGGUCGUAAACCUCUUUCGGCAGGGACGAAGCGAUCAGUGACGGUACCUGCAGAAGAAGCCCCGGCUAACUACGUGCCAGCAGCCGCGGUAAGACGUAGGGGGCGAGCGUUGUCUGGAUUCAUUGGGCGUAAAGCGCGCGUAGGGCGGCUGCGCAAGUCGGUUGUGAAAACCCCGGGGCUCAAACCCCGGAACUGCAUCCGAUACUGCGUGGCUAGAGGUAGGUAGGGGAGAUCGGAAUUUCCUGGUGUAGCGGUGAAAUGCGCAGAUAUCAGGAGGAACACCGGUGGCGAAGGCGGAUCUCUGGGCCUUACCUGACGCUCAGGCGCGAAAGCUAGGGGAGCGAACAGGAUUAGAUACCCUGGUAGUCCUAGCCGUAAACGUUGGGUGCUAGGUGUGGGCGGAUAUCGACCCCGUCCGUGCCGAAGCUAACGCAUUAAGCACCCCGCCUGGGGAGUACGGCCGCAAGGCUAAAACUCAAAGGAAUUGACGGGGGCCCGCACAAGCGGCGGAGCAUGUGGCUUAAUUCGAAGCGACGCGAAGAACCUUAUCUGGGCUUGACAUGCGGGGUGAAACCGUAGAGAUACGGUGCUCCUCGGAGCCCGCACAGGUGGUGCAUGGCUGUCGUCAGCUCGUGCCGUGAGGUGUUGCCUUAAGUGGCGCAACGAGCGCAACCCCUGUCCUUAGUUGCCAGCGGGUAAUGCCGGGAACUCUAGGGAGACUGCCGGUGCCAAACCGGAGGAAGGUGGGGAUGACGUCAAGUCAUCAUGCCCCUUAUGUCCAGGGCUGCACACAUGCUACAAUGCGCGAUACAGAGGGUUGCGAUCCCGCAAGGGGGAGCGAAUCCCAAAAAGUCGCGCUCAGUUCGGAUCGGGGUCUGCAACUCGACCCCGUGAAGUCGGAGUCGCUAGUAAUCGCAGAUCAGCAAUGCUGCGGUGAAUACGUUCCCGGGCCUUGUACACACCGCCCGUCACACCACGAAAGUGGGCAACACCCGAAGCCGGUGGCCUAACCCUUGUGGAGGGAGCCGUCGAAGGUGGGGCUCGCGAUUGGGGUG
This 1452-nucleotide ribosomal RNA is filed under the name uncultured bacterium. RNAcentral describes it as "partial 16S ribosomal RNA". It matches the Rfam family "Bacterial small subunit ribosomal RNA". The record is from RNAcentral.